AUACCGUGAUGAAGACAUCUCUUAAGUAACUUCUUGAAUAUUUCUCAUGCAUCAUACAAGCUUUCAUCUUCAAGUUGAUGGAAGAUUUGUCAGGCAAGUCA
This is a small nucleolar RNA of 101 nucleotides. It matches the Rfam family "Plant small nucleolar RNA R71". Rfam says of the family: R71 is a member of the C/D box family of snoRNAs containing the C (UGAUGA) and D (CUGA) box motifs. Multiple nearly identical copies of this snoRNA have been identified in Arabidopsis, and it is thought to function as a 2'-O-ribose methylation guide for 18S ribosomal RNA. The record is from Rfam.